UACGUAGGGGUGCAAGCGUUUAAUCGGAAUUACUGGGCGUAAGCGUGCGCAGGCGGUUGUGUAAGACAGAUGUGAAAUCCCCGGGCUCAACCUGGGAACUGCAUUUGUGACUGCACAGCUGGAGUGCGGCAGAGGGGGGAUGGAAUUCCGCGUGUAGCAGUGAAAUGCGUAGAUAUGCGGAGGAACACCGAUGGCGAAGGCAAUCCCCCUGGGCCUGCACUGACGCUCCAUGCACAAAGGCGUGGGGGAGCAAACAGG
RNAcentral lists this ribosomal RNA (258 nucleotides) under uncultured bacterium. RNAcentral describes it as "partial 16S ribosomal RNA". It matches the Rfam family "Bacterial small subunit ribosomal RNA", at positions 524 to 776 of the family's 1533-position model. The record is from RNAcentral.